RNAcentral lists this ribosomal RNA (494 nucleotides) under uncultured bacterium. RNAcentral's name for it is "partial 16S ribosomal RNA". It matches the Rfam family "Bacterial small subunit ribosomal RNA", at positions 28 to 507 of the family's 1533-position model. The record is from RNAcentral.
GACGAACGCUGGCGGCGUGCUUAACACAUGCAAGUCGAACGGAAAGGCCUGCUUUCCCUUGUGGAUUGCGGGUACUCGAGUGGCGAACGGGUGAGUAACACGUGAGUGAUCUGCCCCCAACUUGGGUAUAAGCCUGGGAAACUGGGUCUAAUUCCCGAUAGGACUGCAGGGUGGUGCCUGUGGUGGAAAACGAUUUUCUAGUGGUUGGGGAUGAGCUCGCGGCCUAUCAGCUUGUUGGUGGGGUAAUGGCCUACCAAGGCGGCGACGGGUAGCCGGCCUGAGAGGGUGGACGGCCACAGUGGGACUGGGAUACGGCCCAGACUCCUACGGGAGGCAGCAGUGGGGAAUAUUGCACAAUGGGCGGAAGCCUGAUGCAGCGACGCCGCGUGGGGGAUGACGGCCUUCGGGUUGUAAACUCCUUUCGACCGCGAGGAAGCCACCUGGUUGGAAGGGUGGUGACGGUAGUGGUAGAAGAAGCACCGGCUAACUACGUG